AUUCGGGAAAAUCAUAGCAUCUAUGUACAGAUCCGGGCAUCGGUGAAAAGUAAUUCAAUAGUAUUGUUAUGCAUUAUCAUCGCAAACUCUCUCUGUAUUUAAUCCUUCAAUUCUAAAACAAGAAUAACAUAAUGAUAUUUAAUUGGUCUUAUACCAUAAUCUCAUAGUCAUUUUGAUAUGUAUACACAUACAUAUAUCUUGCAUCGUCUUAUUAAUUCAGGUCAUAUUAAAUUAAUAUGAGUAGAAAAAACAAGGAAAGAUAAAAUUUCUACUCCUUCCUAUUGAAUUAAAGUGUUGCUUCUGGUUUCAUGAUGAUGAGAAGAUCCAGGGCCCUCCCCUACAAACCAGGCCCUGUCCCACGUUUCGAUGAACUUGGUUCGACACUAGCUUUAACAUUUCGAAACUGUAAUGCUCCAUUUCCUUCGCCUUGAUGGUUUUAAAAGCCAAGAAAUAUACAUAUGAGAUCCAAGAAUUCAAUAUGAAUUUUGUUAUGAUGAGUGAAACUUAUAUGAAACUAAUUAAUUACUAUAAGUAAUAAGAUCAAGAUGGGCAAAUUUAUAAGAAAUUAAUUACUAUAAGUAGAAAAUACGAUCAAGAUGGUCAAACUUACUUGGCAAGGUUCGGCCCAUAGUUGUGUUGCACACAGAGAGUAAGAGAAGAAUCAUCAAAGUGAUCAAGGAUAAAACCUGACGAUUCAUUUCUUUUCUUUUUCUUUUGUUUCUUGUGGUUAAGACUAAUGUGAGAGGGUUGUGUUAUUAGUUGAUGCUAUACAUCACUUAUAUAUAGGAAAAGGAGAGUUGGUGGAUCCUUAAUACAAGUGUAUGUAUAUACACUAUAAGUUCGUUAAUAUCGCAUAUUUG
Molecule: long non-coding RNA, 860 nt
Filed under: Capsella rubella
Lineage: Eukaryota; Viridiplantae; Streptophyta; Magnoliopsida; Brassicales; Brassicaceae
Description: long non-coding RNA (CRUB_LNC005215)
Source: RNAcentral